Molecule: ribosomal RNA, 422 nt
Filed under: uncultured bacterium
Lineage: Bacteria
Description: partial 16S ribosomal RNA
Rfam family: Bacterial small subunit ribosomal RNA
Source: RNAcentral
GAAUUUUGGACAAUGGGCGAAAGCCUGAUCCAGCAAUGCCGCGUGCAGGAUGAAGGCCUUCGGGUUGUAAACUGCUUUUGUACGGAACGAAAAGCUUUGGGUUAAUACCCUGGAGUCAUGACGGUACCGUAAGCAUAAGCCCCGGCUAACUACGUGACAGCAGCCGCGGUAAUACGUAGGGUGCAAGCGUUAAUCGGAAUUACUGGGCGUAAAGCGUUCGCAGGCGGUUUUGUAAGACAGAGGUGAAAUCCCCGGGGUCCACCUUGGAACUUCCUUUGUGACUGCAAGGCUAGAGUACGGCAGAGGGGGGUGGAAUUCCGCGUUUAGCAGUUAAAUGCGGAGAUAUGCGGAGGAACACCGAUUGCGGAGGCAACCCCCUGGGCCUUUACUGACGCUCAUGCACGAAAGCGUGGGGAGCAAAC